RNAcentral lists this ribosomal RNA (601 nucleotides) under uncultured bacterium. RNAcentral's name for it is "bacterial SSU rRNA". It matches the Rfam family "Bacterial small subunit ribosomal RNA", at positions 732 to 1337 of the family's 1533-position model. The record is from RNAcentral.
CAGUCUUACUGACGUUCAUGCUCGAAGGUGCGGGUAUCGAACAGGAUUAGAUACCCUGGUAGUCCGCACGGUAAACGAUGGAUGCCCGCUGUUGGCGACACACAGUCAGCGGCCAAGCGAAAGCAUUAAGCAUCCCACCUGGGGAGUACGCCGGCAACGGUGAAACUCAAAGGAAUUGACGGGGGCCCGCACAAGCGGAGGAACAUGUGGUUUAAUUCGAUGAUACGCGAGGAACCUUACCCGGGCUUGAACUGCAGCGGAAGGAUACAGAGAUGUUGACGCCCUUCGGGGCCGCUGUGGAGGUGCUGCAUGGUUGUCGUCAGCUCGUGCCGUGAGGUGUCGGCUUAAGUGCCAUAACGAGCGCAACCCCUUUCUUCAGUUGCCAUCGGGUGAUGCCGGGCACUCUGGAGACACUGCCACCGCAAGGUGUGAGGGAGGUGGGGACGACGUCAAAUCAGCACGGCCCUUACGUCCGGGGCUACACACGUGUUACAAUGGGUGGUACAGAGAGAUAGUGCUGCGCAAGCCGCAUUGAAUCAUGAAAUCCAUCCUCAGUUCGGAUUGGGGUCUGCAACCCGACCCCAUGAAGCUGGAUUCGCUA